RNAcentral lists this ribosomal RNA (374 nucleotides) under uncultured organism. RNAcentral describes it as "partial 16S ribosomal RNA". It matches the Rfam family "Bacterial small subunit ribosomal RNA", at positions 528 to 896 of the family's 1533-position model. The record is from RNAcentral.
GGGGGGGCAAGCGUUGUUCGGAAUUACUGGGCGUAAAGGGCGCGCAGGCGGCCCGGCCAGUCCCUUGUGAAAUCCCACGGCUCAACUGUGGAACUGCAGGGGAUACUGCCAGGCUUGAGUCCGGGAGAGGGGAGCGGAAUUCCCAGUGUAGCGGUGAAAUGCGUAGAUAUUGGGAGGAACACCGGUGGCGAAGGCGGCUCUCUGGACCGGUACUGACGCUGAGGCGCGAAAGCUAGGGGAGCAAACGGGAUUAGAUACCCCGGGUAGUCCUAGCUGUAAACGUUGAGCACUUGGUGUGGCGGGUAUCGACCCCCCUGCUGUGCCGAAGCUAACGCAUUAAGUGCUCCGCCUGGGGGAGUACGGUCGCAAGGCUG